CCUACGGGAGGCAGCAGUGAGGAAUAUUGGUCAAUGGGCGCUAGCCUGAACCAGCCAAGUAGCGUGAAGGAUGACUGCCCUAUGGGUUGUAAACUUCUUUUAUAUGGGAAUAAAGUGCAGUAUGUAUACUGCUUUGCAUGUACCUUAUGAAUAAGGAUCGGCUAACUCCGUGCCAGCAGCCGCGGUAAUACGGAGGAUCCGAGCGUUAUCCGGAUUUAUUGGGUUUAAAGGGAGCGUAGGCGGGUUGUUAAGUCAGUUGUGAAAGUUUGCGGCUCAACCGUAGAAUUGCAGUUGAUACUGGCAGCCUUGAGUACAGUAGAGGUAGGCGGAAUUCGUGGUGUAGCGGUGAAAUGCUUAGAUAUCACGAAGAACUCCGAUUGCGAAGGCAGCCUGCUGGACUGUAACUGACGCUGAUGCUCGAAAGUGUGGGUAUCAAACAGGAUUAGAUACCCCAGUAGUC
This 460-nucleotide ribosomal RNA is filed under the name uncultured bacterium. RNAcentral describes it as "partial 16S ribosomal RNA". It matches the Rfam family "Bacterial small subunit ribosomal RNA", at positions 338 to 795 of the family's 1533-position model. The record is from RNAcentral.